Molecule: long non-coding RNA, 309 nt
Filed under: Mytilus galloprovincialis (Mediterranean mussel)
Lineage: Eukaryota; Metazoa; Mollusca; Bivalvia; Mytilida; Mytilidae
Source: RNAcentral
AUUAUGAAUCAAAUAUACUAUAGCUGUCCAACAACAGCAUCAUUAACUCCUUAUAUAUUUAUGGUAACAUUUCCUAUAGAGGCAUUUUGAAACAUUGAAAAUUUGGAAGAGUUUUACGAUCAUUACUACUCCAUGUUUGUUGUACUAUAAAAUGAUUCAUAAUUGUCAAUGGCAUUUGUUAGCAAGUAUUAAACUAUCCCCACAAAAGUUCCCGUAAAUUUUGACGUCGUCAUAAAAAACAUCUGACGUCACAAUGGAAAAGUAAAAAACCGAUACCGGAAACACCGGAAGUAACUUGCACGAGAGGCA